This 253-nucleotide ribosomal RNA is filed under the name uncultured bacterium. RNAcentral describes it as "partial 16S ribosomal RNA". It matches the Rfam family "Bacterial small subunit ribosomal RNA", at positions 524 to 776 of the family's 1533-position model. The record is from RNAcentral.
UACGUAGGGGGCAAGCGUUGUUCGGAAUUACUGGGCGUAAAGCGCACGUAGGCGGCUUUGUAAGUUAGAGGUGAAAGCCCGGGGCUCAACCCGGGAACUGCGUCCGAUACUGGAUGGCUUGAAUCCGGGAGAGGGAUGUGGAAUUCCAGGUGUAGCGGUGAAAUGCGUAGAUAUCUGGAGGAACACCGGUGGCGAAGGCGGCAUCCUGGACCGGUAUUGACGCUGAGGCGCGAAAGCCAGGGGAGCAAACGGG